UUUUAUUUUUUUAUUAUACAACAAAAUUUAAUUUCAGUAAAACCAAAACAAAAAGAAGAGGAAUGAAGGCGCCUGGGCAGCUGGAGAAGAACUUUUAGAUUCAUUAAUAAAAUAUAGAAUAAAAUAUAAAAUGAUCCUAGAAUCAGAGAGCAACGGGAGAAAAAACUUUUCAAUGAGACGAGAUGCUCACAUGCUAACAGCACCGCUAAAACGGAUCAGGAACCAUUUCAGUCCAAACCAGUUCCUGCUAGGCAACCUGCUAGCUCUCUGUUACCAUGACGCCCACUACGACGGCUCAGGAAGUCCAGAAAGAAAUCUACUUCCUGUUCGGAUCCAAACCGGUCUGUUUUCACACAAGAACCAAACCACAGCUGGUUUGGUCAGAUCAGACAGUGGAUCUGGGUACGGUUGUUUGGUCCGGUGCAAGAUUCAGUGGAGUGGGUUCAGCUGGACUAAAAGUCCGGACCAACAAGGAAACAAACGGAUCCGUUCAAAUCAGACCAGACGGUCAGAACCACGCCAACCCAGACUCAAAGGCUGUCUGACAGGAAGUGACGGCCGAAGCCUUACAGCGGCGGCGGCGAUGAGACCAGAUCGCACAUCAUGACCGGUUCACGCCAUUUAGAACCAAACGGCGCUUCAAAACGUUUGGCAAGUACCGGGGGUUUGGAUAUCCAUCUGUAGUUUAAAUCUGCUGUUUCCAGAUUUUAGGAUGUUAGUUUGGAUUCUCAAUUAAAGAUGAAAUCAGAUGAUAGCAGCUGACAGUAGGUGAAAAAUAUAAACUAACAAUUGUCAAUAAAUUUCUCUAAAUUAACUUGUUUGCAUAGACAUAAUUUAAAAGGAUAAUUUAUUUAAGUAGUCACUAAUAAUAAGAGAUAAGUUUUACUCACAAAAGAAAUAGUCUGGCAAAAACAAAUCCUGAAAUGUAAAAGUAAUGAAAGUGAGUGGUGAAUGUGUUUAUUUCAGACUCCUGCAUGGAGAGGCGGAGCGGCUCCUCAGAUGUUCUCUCUCUGCUGCUGCAGUUAUCAAUAAAUCAUCUCAGUCUGACUGAAGCUUCACACUUUCAGCUUUCUGGAUGUUUCUUCCUAUUUUCUUUCUGCACAGCGUCUCUUUGUCUCCAGCAUGCAGCUCCACUCAGACUGAACGUAUUAGGAUGUAAUUAUGUUUGAGGAUGAGACGCUGAGCUGCAGCAGGACGCCGAACAAACGAGCGAGCCGCAGAGAAGAGACGGAGCGGAGCUCAUCACGGAGCGGCAGGGACAGGUUUAUGAUGAUGCUGCAGCCUGAACACGUCUUCAUCACUGCAGCCUCUGAUUCCUCCUCCUCAGUUUGCCUCAGGGUAACUAAAGACGUCUCCAACUCUGAAUCAACUCUUUGGAGCUCCAAAGAUCUCCAAACCUCUGCAGCAGAUUCUGUAAGCUCUGAAAGUUGCUGGUUGGUUCAGAAAAUCCUGAAGAUUCAUUCAGAUUUGGAAAAUUUGGAGUUCAGAGACGAACUUUUAAUCCAAGGAUGGAAUCCCAGCAGCCCAGUUCAGUCCGCUUUAACCCAUCUCCAGUCCAUUUGUCUUGAAAGUCCGGUUCGGUUGGUGAGGUGUGAAUGCUAAUCGACC
Long non-coding RNA from Xiphophorus couchianus (Monterrey platyfish), 1608 nucleotides. RefSeq lists it as uncharacterized. The record is from RefSeq and is a predicted model, not a curated record. NCBI's taxonomy places the organism in Eukaryota, Metazoa, Chordata, Actinopteri, Cyprinodontiformes, Poeciliidae. The transcript has 2 exons.